GGGCGUGUAGCUCAGUUGGUUAGAGCGUUACACUGAUAAUGUAAAGGUCGAUGGUUCGAGUCCAUCCACGCCCACCA
This 77-nucleotide transfer RNA is filed under the name Candidatus Uhrbacteria bacterium RIFCSPHIGHO2_02_FULL_60_44. RNAcentral's name for it is "tRNA-Ile". It matches the Rfam family "tRNA". From Rfam's summary of the family: Transfer RNA (tRNA) molecules are approximately 80 nucleotides in length. The record is from RNAcentral. RNAcentral also lists the same sequence under 1 other name. Lineage: Bacteria; Candidatus Uhriibacteriota.